CGGUCCGAUUCGCACUCCAUUUUUCGGCUUUUGAUUGAGUUAUCUUCAGAAGAAACUGGAUUUUCCACGGAUCGCUCCAAUGGAAGCCGAUAGAAACUAUGUGGGGAUUGCAUAUAGGGUCUAUAUUAUCAAGGGUUUAUCGUAAAACCGAUUGCUCAGGUGAUUUCCGAACUUUUGCAGACCCACUGGGUAUCAAAUUGCAGAGGGAAAACGCAUGUACGACUAUGAAUAAUUUCCGCGAAAUGUUCAGUUUUAAAUACUGGAAGCCAGAACAGUGCCAGGGCCAGUGGUUCGGGGUAGUAAUAUAUAAUAUAUAUCGUAGUACUAUAAAGGGGACCAACCAUAAAAGGCUUUCCACUCGUUGCAUCAACAGUAGCAGAGGCGAAAAUGAAGCUUACCCUAAUUCUAAUGGAGUUCAUGCUCCUGACAGUGGGAAACUCUUGGGUGCACUUCAAAACUCUUGAACCAGGCGCAGAUGGAGGCUGCAAGGGCCCCAACGGCGACAUGGUUGUCCUUGGAAUGCAGGAUGACCCGGAUGUCUGCGGGGCUUUCCAUUGCCAAAACGAUAGCGGCGACGUACUCAUCCACUAGCAACUGCCAGAUCCCUGCUGCGUUCGCAGACUGCGCGGAUACUGGCGUGUCGUCAGCCAGGCCCUGGCCCGAAUGCUGUUGGACGUGCGUCGAACUAAUAGACUGCGCAAAAGAAGAAACACAAGUAAAACCAGACGGUCCCAUUACAUAGAUCCGCAUUUCCAAGGUCCGCCAGAUCUGAUCGUCGCAACCGGAAUGGGAUCACUAUUGAACCAGCCAUAGGACAAAGCCAAUAAAUUUAUAAGUCUGAUACGAUAA
Drosophila pseudoobscura is the source of this 849-nucleotide RNA transcript. RefSeq lists it as uncharacterized. NCBI's taxonomy places the organism in Eukaryota, Metazoa, Arthropoda, Insecta, Diptera, Drosophilidae. The transcript is spliced from 3 exons. The record is from RefSeq and is a predicted model, not a curated record.